CCCACGCAGGCCCGGGGAGAACAUGCAAACUCCACACAGGGAGGCCGGAGCUGGAAUCGAACCCGGUACCUCUGCACUGUGAAGCCCACGUGCUAACCACUGGACUACCGGGCCGCUGAUAGCAAGAUAACAAAACACAAAAAAAACAAUUUCCCCCAUUAAUGUAAGCUACAACCUGUGUAAACCAAUUGAAAAUGAAAACACUUUUCGACUGGGAAGUUUUAAAAAAAAAAAAAAAAGAAGAAGAACGAAAUAGUGAGACAUGAUUGUGUUUGAAUUGGGGAUUGUGCCUGCGUUCACCGCUAAUAAAUCCCAUUCAAAGUCACGUGAAAUGGCCACCAAGCCACACGUGCGAGCGUUUCAAAAGUGUCUCUGAUGAACCAAAAAUGACUUUUGUGUGUACUUUUGUUUUCUCUCUCGCAGGUUUGGUGCUCACCGGUAUUCCCUACGCAUCAGAAUUCCCGCCACUUGCCACACACAUGCUUAAGUGUAGGGAUGGUGUUCUUUUUAUGAUGAGACCUUUGGGGAAUGAUGGCCAAAAAGUUCAAUCUGGGUUUCAAUGGACCAUACAAUCCAUCUGCAUUCAUGUUUACCCAAGUGCACCAAAAACCUGUGAGAAAAUGAAUCGUGAUCCAAUGAGCGCAAGUCAGCCGUCAUUCCAAAAGGUAUGCUCGGCGCCAACGCAAUGCCGUGGAAUACGUUUUGAAAUGAUUUCAUCUUGGUGUGAUUUAAAUUUUUUUGGGGGGGUGGAUGGGGGGGUAUGACAAAGAAACUGGCAUUUCAACAUGGCCGUGUAGACUUUUUACAUCCGCUGCAGAUUACGCAUCGCCGGAUCCCGCUGAGCUUGUUAAAAAGCACCGUUGUGGGGCAAACGCUCGGACUGAGAGGCCAAAAGGUCAGUUGGGAAGUCGCUCGAGCGCCACGGCCAAGCGGCCGCAAGUUGCCCUGCCACAACUCUCUCGCUUCUUCAUGAUGACGUCAACUUCUGAGUCUGGCCUGCCCAUCCAGUUCUCGACAUACCUCAAAUUACAACUUGAGAAAUGACAACCUGCUCAUCGAAGAUCGGAGUCACGAGGGGACCGGCGGACCAUCAUCAUCGCCUCUCUAAUGAGCAGCCGAUGGAGGCAAUAACAUCUCGUCGUGGCAAGCAUACGGCUGGAGUGAAAGUGAAGCCGUGAGGCGAGAGCUACACCCCCCCGAGAAAGAGCAAAGAUAAAGGGGCCGAGCAGAAACUGCAAUGAGCAGAUCAAGCAUGUCGAAUAAUGCUGCAGUGCAGUGCACGGAAACGUAGAGAAGUCUUCAAAUUAAGAAAAGAUGCAUGGGGACUUAAGGCAACAGGCAAGGUGGUCCCACAAGGGCCGUGAAAGUGAAACCUGGAAAGGUGAAAAGCAAAUAAAUAA
This is a long non-coding RNA of Hippocampus zosterae (dwarf seahorse), 1400 nucleotides long. RefSeq lists it as uncharacterized. The transcript is spliced from 3 exons. The record is from RefSeq and is a predicted model, not a curated record. NCBI's taxonomy places the organism in Eukaryota, Metazoa, Chordata, Actinopteri, Syngnathiformes, Syngnathidae.